GCAUAUCAAUAAGCGGAGGAAAAGAAACCAACAGGGAUUGCCUCAGUAACGGCGAGUGAAGCGGCAACAGCUCAAAUUUGAAAUCUGGCCUCUUUAGGGGUCCGAGUUGUAAUUUGUAGAGGAUGUUUCGGGUACCGCUCCGGUUUAAAUUUCUUGGAACAGAAUGUCAGAGAGGGUGAGAAUCCCGUCUUGGACCGGCGGUAGGGCCCAUGUGAAACUCCUUCGACGAGUCGAGUUGUUUGGGAAUGCAGCUCAAAAUGGGUGGUAAAUUUCAUCUAAAGCUAAAUAUUGGCCAGAGACCGAUAGCGCACAAGUAGAGUGAUCGAAAGAUGAAAAGCACUUUGAAAAGAGAGUUAAACAGUAUGUGAAAUUGUUGAAAGGGAAGCGCUUGCAACCAGACUUGAGCGCGGCGGUUCCCCCUUCCUUUUGGUUGGGUUACUCCGUCGUGUCCAGGCCAACAUCGGUUCUGGGGGUCGGUUAAAGGCCCGGGGAAUGUACCUACCCUUCGGGCGUAGACUUAUAGCCCCAGGCGUCAUGCGACCACCCGGGACCGAGGAACGCGCUUCGGCUCGGAUGUUGGCGUAAUGGUUGUCAGCGACCCGUCUUGAAACACGGACCAAGGAGUCUAACAUCUAUGCGAGUGUUUGGGUGUCAAACCCGGAACGCGAAAUGAAAGUGAACGGAGGUAGGAAGCUCUUUUGGGGCUGCACUAUCGACCGAUCCUGAUGUCUUCGGAUGGAUUUGAGUAAGAGCAUAGCUGUUGGGACCCGAAAGAUGGUGAACUAUGCCUGAAUAGGGUGAAGCCAGAGGAAACUCUGGUGGAGGCUCGCAGCGGUUCUGACGUGCAAAUCGAUCGUCAAAUUUGGGUAUAGGGGCGAAAGACUAAUCGAACCAUCUGGUAGCUGGUUCCUGCGA
Molecule: ribosomal RNA, 915 nt
Filed under: Exophiala moniliae
Lineage: Eukaryota; Fungi; Ascomycota; Eurotiomycetes; Chaetothyriales; Herpotrichiellaceae
Description: LSU rRNA
Rfam family: Eukaryotic large subunit ribosomal RNA
Source: RNAcentral